Molecule: ribosomal RNA, 207 nt
Filed under: uncultured bacterium
Lineage: Bacteria
Description: partial 16S ribosomal RNA
Rfam family: Bacterial small subunit ribosomal RNA
Source: RNAcentral
CUCGUAGGUGGUUUGUCGCGUUGUUCGUGAAAACUCACAGCUUAACUGUGGGCGUGCGGGCGAUACGGGCAGACUAGAGUACUGCAGGGGAGACUGGAAUUCCUGGUGUAGCGGUGGAAUGCGCAGAUAUCAGGAGGAACACCAAUGGCGAAGGCAGAUCUCUGGGCCGUAACUGACGCUGAGGAGCGAAAGCAUGGGGAGCGAACA